RNAcentral lists this ribosomal RNA (399 nucleotides) under uncultured bacterium. RNAcentral describes it as "bacterial SSU rRNA". It matches the Rfam family "Bacterial small subunit ribosomal RNA", at positions 43 to 444 of the family's 1533-position model. The record is from RNAcentral.
CAGGCCUAACACAUGCAAGUCGAGCGGAGAUGAGGUGCUUGCACCUUAUCUUAGCGGCGGACGGGUGAGUAAUGCUUAGGAAUCUGCCUAUUAGUGGGGGACAACAUUUCGAAAGGAAUGCUAAUACCGCAUACGCCCUACGGGGGAAAGCAGGGGAUCUUCGGACCUUGCGCUAAUAGAUGAGCCUAAGUCGGAUUAGCUAGUUGGUGGGGUAAAGGCCUACCAAGGCGACGAUCUGUAGCGGGUCUGAGAGGAUGAUCCGCCACACUGGGACUGAGACACGGCCCAGACUCCUACGGGAGGCAGCAGUGGGGAAUAUUGGACAAUGGGGGGAACCCUGAUCCAGCCAUGCCGCGUGUGUAAAGAAGGCCUUUUGGUUGUAAAGCACUUUAAGCGAGG